CUGGGGGGGGAGGGCACAGUUUAUUGUGUGUUUUAAGAGGGAAGUAGAUAGAUGUAUGAAAGAGGCUGAAGGAGUACGGGAUGUGAUUGAAAGAAUAGCUUGCUUGGCGCAGACUCAAAUGAGCCGAAUGGUCUCCUUCUGUGCUGCUAACUUCUAUGAUUCUGUGAAAUUCGUGGCAACAGUAUUUGGCUAGCACUGGAAUUCCUUAACAUUCCUGCUGACUAAACUCUUAACGUAACUGUUUAAUUUCCUCUAGGGCUAGGAUUCAAUAUUGUCGGAGGGACUGAUCACCAGUACAACUAUAAUGACAGUGCAAUUUAUGUAAGCAAAAUUAAAGAAGAUGGACCUGCAGAUGCUGACGGACGUUUAAAAGAAGGAGACCAAAUCUUAGCAAUCAAUGGACAAGUGCUCUGUGAUAUGACUCACCUGGAAGUUGUGGAAGUAUUUAGAAAUUCUGGGGAUGAGGUGGUUUUACAGGUUGUAAAAAAGAUAAGAGAUAAGAAUAAUCAAAGCAAUGGGCCUACUAUAUCACCACUAGUUUUGACGGCACUGGUUGUAGUGGUGGCAAUAUUUGGAUAUGUGAAAUAUCGUCAUAGGUCGUGAGAAAGCCAGUGCCCAUAUUGUUCACGUGGACCUACAGAUCGAAUAUCAAUUGCUGCUCCUUGUUUGUGUGCAUUAACCCUGACUUUCGUCAGUCACUGCAGGAUUUUAAAGGGAUGCGCACUUUCACAGAUGGUCUAAAAUAUUCAGCAUGAUAUUUCAAUGCUGCAAAAUUCAGAUUACAAAUUGUACCAGAGUACAGCUUUUUCCUUUAUUGUUGUAAUUAUGGUUUAAAAACAACAUUGUGAAGAUCUCCUGCUAUGUUUAAAAGAUCCAAAUAAGAAUGAUGGUGCAAUUUAUACGCUGAAUUUUAUGGGACACAUUCUUGGAUUCUCCACACUUAAGAAGAUGAAGCUAAGAUUCCAUGAAAUGCAAGCAUUACAAAAUUGAGGCUAGGUCCUGAACCAGAGGUGGUUUGAGGCUUGAAACUGUAUCCUAGUGUAAGUCAGCAUCUUCAGGAGAAGAGAGGAGAAAAAAAUUAAAGUAAAACAUUUCUUUGACAUUUGGCCAGAUUUCAGCGUAGUGCCUUUAUGUUGGAGUUAGGUCCCAGGUUGAAUCUGGUCUGUAUUGAGUUAGCAACCUACCAUGGCUUGGAUCAGCUAUCAUUGGCUUCAGCACCAUUUGGCUAAUGAAGGGAGAAAUCAGCCUUCUUCUAAUUGUUACCCAAUGAUUUGUGAAAAGGUCAUUUGUAUGAAUGUAUGCUGUUGACUGGCUUGGGCUCAACUGCGAUGUUUCUCCUGCCACACGAGACCAACCAAGCAGCCUGCUGAUGCUCAUUAUCGAGCACUACAUCUGGAGAAGCUGUUAGAAGCCUUGGACCUAGCACAAGUCAGCACCUUCAGAAGAAGUAAGGAACAGUAAAUUAAGGCAAAGAAUUUCUUUGACAUUUGGCCAGAUGUCAGGGUCGCAUCUAUGCUAGAGGAAUUAUGUUAUUGGCAGUUUAUACUCUGUUUCACAGAUGCUACCCAUUUCUGUAAUUGGACUAUGUUUGAGAAAUGCAUUAGGAAAUAUAAUGCCUGCACUUUUUCUAUGUUGUGAUAGGCCCACUUUCACAAAAUAUAGGUCAUUCAAAUGUUGUAAAAAAUAAUUUUAAAUCACACAAACCAAGUAUAGUAGCAGCUGUUGUCUACUUUUAGCAAUACAGUGCAACCCUGGUAUAAUAUCUCUCCUGGUAUAGCAUUGAUUAUAAUACUGGUCUAUGGAUCUGCAUUAUCUAGAAGCGUGGUAUACCCAGCUUCCAUCGCUCACUAACUGGCUUCCUAUGCUAAUAAAUAGUCAACUUUCUGAUCUUCAGAUCACUGUUGACAUGACGUCCUGCACACUAUGUAUGACUGACAUUUUUUGGGGUCAUCCGGGUGUUCUCACGUCUGAGGAAACCCAUCAUCAUGCUUAAGAGUAUUCAAGCCAGACUUGAGAGUUCUACAUAUGUACAGCCACCAAGGCACAUCAAUUUCUGAGUGUUUGGAAUGGACUGCACACACACUGCCUCGAGGGAGGCAUCGUGCUUACCGAAUUCCGAAGAAUCUUAGCAGGUUGGCAAGAGCCAAGGAUUGGGGACCCAGAAUGUGCAUUGGGCUACUGCUGGAAUUCAGUCAAAUAAAACUGCAUAGCUUGCAUUGAGAGCACUGUCUGGCAAGCUUCCCACCUAUUGGCUAGCAAUGAUCACCAUACCAGUUGGGGCUUCGGGUUGUAAGGUUUACAAGAGCUGAGCGGGAAGAAUCUCAGUGACAAGGCUGCCCAUCCAGGUCCUGCCGAUGAGCCAAGCUGGCUGGUCUGCUAAUUCUCUCUAUUUCUGCAUUCCCAUUAUCAAGCACAUCACCUUGGAGCUCCUAAGAAUCCUGUGUACCUUUCCCCUC
Molecule: RNA transcript, 2456 nt
Organism: Callorhinchus milii (elephant shark)
Lineage: Eukaryota; Metazoa; Chordata; Chondrichthyes; Chimaeriformes; Callorhinchidae
Gene name: peroxisomal N(1)-acetyl-spermine/spermidine oxidase
Exons: 3
Source: RefSeq, a predicted model, not a curated record